Drosophila melanogaster (fruit fly) is the source of this 535-nucleotide non-coding RNA. Lineage: Eukaryota; Metazoa; Arthropoda; Insecta; Diptera; Drosophilidae. The record is from Ensembl.
AGGCUGGACAAGUUCUCGAUUUUCUUGAUCAGAUUCCAGCGCAGAAACAGGCGCUCGAUUCGAGUCAGCGGCUCGAAGUUCUCCAGCUUCUCGAUCCGGCGAUGAUUCAGAUCAAGCUCGUAGCAGUCCGGAUCGAUUGUGAUUAUAUCCUCAAUGGAAGCCACAUCCUCGGCGGGAAUCACCUGGAUUCCGGACACAGUUUUCGCGGCUUCUGUUGACUUUCGAAAAUUGAACGCUGACUUGACUUGUUGUUUAUUCCGCUGCUCAGGGUGGAACAAAGUGGGGUGACUUUCUUUAAAUAUGACGUCAAAGCUUGACACUGUUACAAAAGCAAGAACACACGUUAAGUCCAAGAUGACUGUAUACUCCUUUUGGUCCAACUUGUUCAAUAUGUCAACAAAAUACUUAGUCACCUUACCGGCACUUUAACACUAUUUCUACUAGAGAUGUGCACCUAAGAACACGAUGCUAAACCUGUAUUAUUAUAUAUUCCAAUGUAAAUGAAAAACAAAUAUUGAUUGAUAAUUUGCCAAAU